Molecule: non-coding RNA, 388 nt
Organism: Cinara cedri
Lineage: Eukaryota; Metazoa; Arthropoda; Insecta; Hemiptera; Aphididae
Source: the annotation of a GenBank genome assembly
GUUUAAAUUAUUACCGAUUUUCCCAUUUUUCCCAUAUUUUCUUUCGGUUUUUAACAUUUACUGGGAAUGCUCUUCGGAAAAUCGAAAGGUGACCUCCCUAAAGUACUUUGCCAGUCAGAUUUACUUUCAGAAAAAGUGCGAUUUUCCCAUUUUUCCCAUAGUUUCUUCGGGUUUUUAACAUUUACUGGGAAUGCUCUUCGGAAAAUCGAAAGGUGACCUCCUUAAAGUACUUUGCCAGUCAGAUUAACUUUCAGAAAAAGUGCUAUUAUUGUAAAUCAGAGCAAAUUUACUGGUAGAAAAGUUGUCUCCUGGAAAAAAGAAGACCGACAAAUUUUUCAACUUAUACCUACAUUUUGUACAUUUUCCAGUUUUUAGUCAGUUUUUUUUU